AACUGGAAGGGAUGGAGGUGGAGGAGGACAAGAAGAGAAGAAAAGCAAGAGGAGAAAAGGAGGAAGGAGCGGCAAGAACAAAAGAGAUGAACCGAGUGGAGAAAGACAAAUGAGAAUAGAAAGAAGAGCGAAAAAGGAAAAACGAUAUUAUAUUUUGUUUACUAAAAAUUCUGAUUGAAUCUGUAAAAUCUGAAAAAAUGGCCUAUUUUUUAUUAAAAGU
This 220-nucleotide long non-coding RNA is filed under the name Ananas comosus (pineapple). Its description in RNAcentral is "long non-coding RNA (ACOM_LNC041341)". The record is from RNAcentral. Lineage: Eukaryota; Viridiplantae; Streptophyta; Magnoliopsida; Poales; Bromeliaceae.